AAAUAGCGUACAUUUCUCUCCCGUAAAUCUAAACUUGACGUUGAUUUCUGGUAAGCUUCUAUUUUCUGUUCAUUCUCUCUUUAUGAAUUAUAUAUUUCACUUGAAUGUUUUUUUUAUCAGUGUCUUUUGUUAACCUUAAUUAGGUGCGAAGAAUUUUGAAUUCCUGUUUGAUUAAUGCAAUAAUUUAGGUCAUUAAGCAUAUUUUCUUAAAGAUUUUAAUGUUGGAUUUUAACAAAUUUUUUUUUUUUAUAAGAUGAAUUGUCUUCGAUUGAUUAAGCUUUGAAGUAAAUUGUGGAAUUCAGAAAUAGGGCAGAAAUGGAAGUUAGUAUGUUACAUUGGGUUUUAUAAUUCCUGUUUACAUAAACGA
This 367-nucleotide long non-coding RNA is filed under the name Olea europaea subsp. europaea. Lineage: Eukaryota; Viridiplantae; Streptophyta; Magnoliopsida; Lamiales; Oleaceae. The record is from RNAcentral.